AAUAAGCACACGCGAUUAGUCUGAAUAGCAGUUGGUUCUUUGAAUCUUCUUUCCGAUUGUCUUCACUUGCUCUUCUUCUCAAAAAAAAAACCGGCGUUUGUAUAUUUGCUCUAAGACGGUGGCCUCUGCCUC
Molecule: non-coding RNA, 132 nt
Organism: Caenorhabditis elegans
Lineage: Eukaryota; Metazoa; Nematoda; Chromadorea; Rhabditida; Rhabditidae
Source: Ensembl